RNAcentral lists this ribosomal RNA (1391 nucleotides) under uncultured organism. RNAcentral's name for it is "16S ribosomal RNA". It matches the Rfam family "Bacterial small subunit ribosomal RNA". The record is from RNAcentral.
UAACACAUGCAAGUCGAGGGGUAACAGGUCUUUCGGGACGCUGACGACCGGCGCACGGGUGAGUAACGCGUAUGCAAUCUGCCUUCAGCUGGAGGAUAGCCCGGAGAAAUCCGGAUUAAUACUCCAAAUGCUAUCGGACGGCAUCGUCUGAUAUCUAAAGCUCCGGCGGCUGAUGAUGGGCAUGCGUGACAUUAGUUAGUUGGUGAGGUAACGGCUCACCAAGACUACGAUGUCUAUGGGGUCUUAAAGGAUGAUCCCACACACUGGUACUGAGACACGGACCAGACUCCUACGGGAGGCAGCAGUGAGGAAUAUUGGUCAAUGGGCGAAAGCCUGAACCAGCCAUGCCGCGUGAAGGAUGACGGCCCUACGGGUUGUAAACUUCUUUUGUACGGAAAGAACAAAGGCUACGUGUAGCCUCUUGACGGUACCGUACGAAUAAGCAUCGGCUAACUCCGUGCCAGCAGCCGCGGUAAUACGGAGGAUGCAAGCGUUAUCCGGAUUUAUUAGGUUCAAAGGGUGCGUAGGCGGAGUUUUAAGUCAGUGGUGAAAUCUUGUGGCUCAACCAUGAAACUGCCAUUGAUACUAUUGCUCUUGAAUGUAGUUGAGGUAGGCGGAAUGUGUAGUGUAGCGGUGAAAUGCUUAGAUAUUACACAGAACACCAAUUGCGAAGGCAGCUUACUAGACUAUGAUUGACGCUGAGGCACGAAAGCGUGGGGAGCGAACAGGAUUAGAUACCCUGGUAGUCCACGCUGUAAACGAUGAUCACUGGUUGUUGGCGAUACACUGUCAGCGACUGAGCGAAAGCAUUAAGUGAUCCACCUGGGGAGUACGUCGGCAACGAUGAAACUCAAAGGAAUUGACGGGGGCCCGCACAAGCGGAGGAACAUGUGGUUUAAUUCGAUGAUACGCGAGGAACCUUACCUGGGCUUAAAUGUAGCAUGACUGCUGUCGAAAGAUAGUUUCCCUUCGGGGCAAGUUACAAGGUGCUGCAUGGCUGUCGUCAGCUCGUGCCGUGAGGUGUCGGGUUAAGUCCCAUAACGAGCGCAACCCUUAUCGUUAGUUACCAGCGCGUAAAGGCGGGGACUCUAACGAGACUGCCACCGUAAGGUGUGAGGAAGGUGGGGAUGACGUCAAGUCAGCACGGCCCUUACGUCCAGGGCUACACACGUGUUACAAUGGCCAGUACAAAGGGCAGCUACCAGGCGACUGGAUGCUAAUCUCCAAAACUGGUCUUAGUUCGGAUUGAAGUCUGCAACUCGACUUCAUGAAGUUGGAUUCGCUAGUAAUCGCGCAUCAGCCACGGCGCGGUGAAUACGUUCCCGGGCCUUGUACACACCGCCCGUCAAGCCAUGGAAGCUGGGGGUACAUGAAGUCCGUAACCGCAAGGA